GGGGCUGUAGGAUAGUGGUAGUCCGGCCGGCUCCAGACCGGCAGACUCGCGUUCGAUUCGCGGCGGCCCCA
Molecule: transfer RNA, 71 nt
Rfam family: tRNA
About the family: Transfer RNA (tRNA) molecules are approximately 80 nucleotides in length. Their secondary structure includes four short double-helical elements and three loops (D, anti-codon, and T loops).